CCUGGCUACCUCCCCGGAGGCAGUUAGUUUGGUGCUCGUCUGAGAGAAUGAGAACCGAGUUCACCAACCGAUAUAUUAUGUCAGCAAAGUGCUUCAUGAAGCUGAGACUCGGUACUCGAAGGCAGAGAAAAUGAUUUUCGCUCUGGUCAUUUCAGCACAGUGACUCCGUCCGAACUUCCAGGCACACGCUAUCGUGGUCCUCACCGACCAACCCCUGAG
Molecule: long non-coding RNA, 219 nt
Filed under: Elaeis guineensis (African oil palm)
Lineage: Eukaryota; Viridiplantae; Streptophyta; Magnoliopsida; Arecales; Arecaceae
Description: long non-coding RNA (EGUI_LNC011436)
Source: RNAcentral